Micropterus dolomieu (smallmouth bass) is the source of this 1608-nucleotide long non-coding RNA. RefSeq lists it as uncharacterized. The transcript is spliced from 2 exons. The record is from RefSeq and is a predicted model, not a curated record. Lineage: Eukaryota; Metazoa; Chordata; Actinopteri; Centrarchiformes; Centrarchidae.
GAGGCGAGGAUCCAGCUUCAGCAGCGCGAGACAGACCGCGUCCCGCGCCCCGCCAGGCAGCAGCCACUUCACAUAUCCCCGCAGUUCACCGUGGAGCUCCUUCUACCCCGGUACAGACGUUUUGGAUUUUCUUACUCCCUUAAGUCCAGAAAACAGCGAAUACUUUCCCAAUUCCCCAAAGGCUUUCCCCAAACUGCCUCCACCCUCGCCAACGCCUCACUAUGGACAGACUCCACAUGAAGUCACACUCACAGCUUUGGAGAGGGAGGGUGUAAACAAACAGGUAAACUGUGAGACACACGUGCCAACCUCUCACGUGAGCAGGAAACAGCAGUUAUUCUUGGACACACUGCUCACCGUAAUGUUGUGUUAUGUGCCACAACUCUAAAAUGUGUAAGGAUAAUGGAGCAAAGAGUUAGGUGCUGUAGUGAGACCGAACUUUAAUUUGACUUUAUUCCCGCCAUUUUACGGCACGCGUGCUUCUCUUUAGGAGCACCGUGAUGCUGUUAGAGGAUUUUAAAGUGCACUUCUACUCCUCAGUAACUGGUUUGGGACAGCCCACAAUAUGGUGAACCCUCCACAUGGAAGUGCAAACAGAGAUUUUACACAUCCAUAAGACAUCACUUUUGCUUAUUCAGGGUUCCCAUUUUUUUCAAGAGAUAAUUUUCCAGGACAUUUUCACUGAUGAUCUAGCUAGUAAGACAGAACUGGAUCACGUCAUACACUAAUUUGUUCCUCUCUGCGGAAGUCUGAUUUUAAAGACGUGCAACAGUUUAAAACAAGUUGAGAACAAAACAUUAAUCUAUGAACCUAAUAAAACUACCACAGUUACCAGCCAGCAGAGACUAAUAUUUACCUUUGGAGGAUAACGCAACUUGUAUUAUGUAGUGUUUCCCCACUAAUGUCACCCAACCAUAGCCAACCUGUGCUACCAUGUGACGUCCACAACACUGCCACAACAUAACCGAUCAACUGCAACAUGAUUUUUGAGGACAUUUUACUCUCUCAUUUUCCAUGUGUUUUCCAUGACUGAAUUGGUCAACUGUUUCUCCAGGUUUUCCAGGACGCGUGGGAACCCUUUUAUUACCUAGUUGUCUUUAAAAAGGAAAUUUCAAUAAAUAUUAUGCUUUCAAAAUGUCUGGUAGACAGGUUUUGAUUAAUAUAAUGGAGGUCGAUAAUUUCUGUUCCAAUACAGCCAACAGUUUAUAUUUUGUGUUCAAUAUCAUGAAAUCUCACUAUCUUCAUGACUUCCUACUGUGGGGUCAUGUGUGGGCGUUGCCAAUCUCUAUCCCUUGCAGGUGAAGAGCUGAGACUGAUUGCAGUAAUUCUGGGCAACUGGGCUAAUUGCCCUGUAGUGUAUUUGAUGAUGCUGCUGGGCUGAGGACACACAGCUGACUUUCUAGCCUCUGUUUUCCUUCACAUGUUCCACCUUUUGCCUUGUUUUCUGGACAUGCUGUUUUAGUUGUAGUUAUUGUUUCUUGCACACGUUUCCCAUGCAUCCAUCAUCCUGUCCUGACAUGACUGAAACCUCUGAUGUUCAUACCCUUUACGUUAUCACCAGCCUUAAUUUGGUUCAUUUUGGUUUAAAUAAACAUCUUGUUAAACUUC